AUUACUGCUCAGUAACACGUGGAUAAUCUGCCCUAUGGUGGAGGAUAACCCCGGGAAACUGGGGAUAAUACUCCAUAAGUCAGGAGUACUGGAAUGUCUCCUAACUGAAAGUUUCGGCGCCAUAGGAUGAAUCUGCGGCCGAUUAGGUAGUUGUUGGGGUAACGGCCCAACAAGCCCGUAAUCGGUACGGGUUGUGGGAGCAAGAGCCCGGAGAUGGAAUCUGAGACACGAUUCCAGGCCCUACGGGGCGCAGCAGGCGCGAAAACUUUACAAUGCAGGAAACUGUGAUAAGGGAACCCCGAGUGCCCGUACACGCGGGCUGUCCCGGUGUUUAAAACACAUCGGAAGAAAGGGCCGGGCAAGACCGGUGCCAGCCGCCGCGGUAAUACCGGCGGCUCGAGUGGUGACCACUUUUAUUGGGCUUAAAGCGUUCGUAGCUUGAUUUUUAAGUCUCUUGGGAAAUCUCACGGCUUAACUGUGAGGCGUCUAAGAGAUACUGGGAAUCUAGGGACCGGGAGAGGUAAGAGGUACUUCAGGGGUAGAAGUGAAAUUCUGUAAUCCUUGAGGGACCACCGAUGGCGAAGGCAUCUUACCAGAACGGCUUCGACAGUGAGGAACGAAAGCUGGGGGAGCGAACGGGAUUAGAUACCCCGGUAGUCCCAGCCGUAAACUAUGCGCGUUAGGUGUGCCUGUAACUACGAGUUACCGGGGUGCCGAAGUGAAAACGUGAAACGUGCCGCCUGGGAAGUACGGUCGCAAGGCUGAAACUUAAAGGAAUUGGCGGGGGAGCACAAUCUCAUCGUUAU
Molecule: ribosomal RNA, 806 nt
Filed under: uncultured archaeon
Lineage: Archaea
Description: bacterial SSU rRNA
Rfam family: Archaeal small subunit ribosomal RNA
Source: RNAcentral